AUCCAUCCCCCAGUGCUGUCACAAUCCACCACUCAGUGGUGGAUCCUACAGAGGGACAUCAGCACCUGAAUAUAAACAGAAAGGAGUGCAAGGUCGCAAAGCACUCACAUGUGAUGUUAUCCUCCACCAUCCAGUGACAUCACAAUGGGACAUCAUGGCACGCCUUUGUUCCCUCUCACCUCAGCACAUAGGUCUGGGACUGCUGGCAGAUAUUGCCAUGGAAAAGGACAUGGGGGGUCACCAGAGGCCAGCAGCCAGGCUGGACUCUGUGUGGCCCUGGUUGAGACAAAGGCAGGAGGGAAUACACUAGGGCUGGUAGUGGCUGGCAGGGGCUGUGGAGAGCAGCAUCCUGCACAGAACAGUGGCAGAGAUGCAGGAAGAAGCCAGCACACUGGAGGCCACCUCCACCAGGGCUCCCAGCAAACUUUCCCUUCUGUGCCUGUCACUGCAGAGCAGGACCAGCCCCAGGAGGAGAGGAUUUUCUCCAGUUUCAAGAUAAUCUAGAUUCUCUUGCCUGUUGACCACAGGGAACUGAUAGAAAAACAAAUAAAAGGAAAGCAAGGUAUAAAACAAAUUGGUUUCUACUAAUGAGGCUUUAAUUACACUCCUCGAAUCUCCAAUUUCCAGCGCCUUCAAAAAACCACUUCUUUCAUGCCAUCAAGUCAAUUAUUUCCAUAUCUUGAAGCGACAUGCGGAAUAAAUAAAUAGACUCCACAACUCGAUGUAGUUAUCAAGUGGGUAUGUAUGGCAGCGCCCGGCACAAGUGAGAUAACUCUCCGAAAUCUUGUGCCCCGAGCUGAAGUCUGCCCCCCAACUUUAUUCACAAAGGUGUUCCAUGUGCAAUACAUUACACAACUUUUCUAUGCAUAUUCAACCCCUGGCCCCGCCUGUCUUCGCUUCUCAUGCUAAAUAGGUCCAUGCCCUUCUGGGCAUGCGUAGUUUUUUGUGGGGGCUUUUAUGGGGGUCCCUGGUGGUCUUUGAGCCACAAACCAUCAUCUUCCUCCGCAUUGAACUUUUGAACUCUUCUCCUCUGCGCUUGCGCUUUUGGUCCUUUGCUCUCCUAUCUGGAUAAGUUCAUCAUCCUUGACAUGUUUGGAGACAGA
Taeniopygia guttata (zebra finch) is the source of this 1103-nucleotide non-coding RNA. The record is from RefSeq and is a predicted model, not a curated record. NCBI's taxonomy places the organism in Eukaryota, Metazoa, Chordata, Aves, Passeriformes, Estrildidae.